AUUGAACGCUGGCGGCAGGCUUAACACAUGCGAGUCGAGCGGAGUGAUGGUGCUUGCACUAUCACUUAGCGGCGGACGGGUGAGUAAUGCUUAGGAAUCUGCCUAUUAGUGGGGGACAACAUCUCGAAAGGGAUGCUAAUACCGCAUACGUCCUACGGGAGAAAGCAGGGGAUCACUUGUGACCUUGCGCUAAUAGAUGAGCCUAAGUCGGAUUAGCUAGUUGGUGGGGUAAAGGCCUACCAAGGCGACGAUCUGUAGCGGGUCUGAGAGGAUGAUCCGCCACACUGGGACUGAGACACGGCCCAGACUCCUACGGGAGGCAGCAGUGGGGAAUAUUGGACAAGGGGGGGAACCCUGAUCCAGCCAUGCCGCGUGUGUGAAGAAGGCCUUAUGGUUGUAGAGCACUUUAAGCGAGGAGGAGGCUCUUUUGGUUAAUACCCAAGAUGAGUGGACGUUACUCGCAGAAUAAGCACCGGCUAACUCUGUGCCAGCCGCCGCAGUAA
This 503-nucleotide ribosomal RNA is filed under the name uncultured bacterium. Its description in RNAcentral is "partial 16S ribosomal RNA". It matches the Rfam family "Bacterial small subunit ribosomal RNA", at positions 30 to 523 of the family's 1533-position model. The record is from RNAcentral.